AGAGUUUGAUCCUGGCUCAGGAUGAACGCUAGCGGCAGGCCUAAUACAUGCAAGACGAGCGGUAAGAGUUUCAGCAAUGGAAUUCCAAGAGCGUCGUAAGGGUGCGUAACACGUAUGCAAUCUGCCCGGAACAGGAGAAUAGCUCGGGGAAACUCGAAUUAACACUCCAUAAGACAGUAAUGUGGCAUCACAUAGCUGUU
RNAcentral lists this ribosomal RNA (200 nucleotides) under uncultured bacterium. RNAcentral describes it as "partial 16S ribosomal RNA". It matches the Rfam family "Bacterial small subunit ribosomal RNA", at positions 8 to 202 of the family's 1533-position model. The record is from RNAcentral.